RNAcentral lists this long non-coding RNA (277 nucleotides) under Felis catus (domestic cat). RNAcentral describes it as "lncRNA (ENSFCAG00000040921.2)". The record is from RNAcentral. Lineage: Eukaryota; Metazoa; Chordata; Mammalia; Carnivora; Felidae.
CUCGGAACACCUAGAAUUACAAGUGACUAGGAGAGCUUAACUGAGCUCACAACCUCGUUCUCUUCUGUGAUCUAUAAAUAUAGAACUCUACUCACCAACUAUGUUCUCUUUUAUGUCGGCAUACCCCCAGCCCCUCAGGAUCUACGCUCAGAGGAAAAGAGAACUGGAGGCCAACUCAGCAGCCAGCCACUCAGACACUGUGAAGUACUCAGAUUCCUGGAUUUUCUUUUUACUGCAACAUUUUAUGGAACUGAAGGCUAAUCUAAAGCCAAUGUAA